GAGAAGGAAGGGAGCCAGCGGCAUGGGUUAUGCACACAGAGCUCUCUGGGCCAAACCUGGGAUAUAGUACACAUUGAGUAAGUCUUCAGAGCAAUGGGGAGCCAGAGGGAAAAAUAAAAUAAAAUCCCAGUAUAAUUAACAUACAACAUUGUGUUCGUUUCAGGUGUACAAUGUAGUGAGUCACCAAUCCCCACAUUACUCAGUGCUCAUCAUGCUGCAGAAAUCAUUUUCGGUUGCUCUCUGACUCGAGUAAACAACACUCCCUGUCACCUUAUCCCUUGGUCGGUCGGUUCCACCUCUGUAUUUUCACUGGGACAUGAUUCUCACUGACAGUAGAAAGCUCAGCACCCAGACCUGCGGCUGUGAAAAUACUUGCUCCUCUCCAGAACUAUCAGUACUUGUGGGAAACACGUCACGGUGCCAGCCACUCAUUGGUCCUGAAGCGACCCUGUUAUUUUGGGAUGUAGUAAAGGAAAUGAGAUUUUGAAACCCCAAGUGGCACUCUCUCUGGCUAUUGAAAGGUAUUGUGCGUCCCAGACCAGCAGCAUUAGCACCUGGGAACUUUUUAGAAGUGAAAAUGCUGGGACCCCGCCCUGGACCUUCUCAGAAAGAAACUUCGGCAUGGCGCCCAGCAAUCCAGUUUUAACAAGGAGGUCAUCUCAAAUGUGAGAGCCAUUGCUGCUAUGGUAUGGAAAGCUCCAUUCUGAGCAUGUCACCUCUUUGUUCCCUUUACUGGUG
Long non-coding RNA from Ailuropoda melanoleuca (giant panda), 738 nucleotides. RefSeq lists it as uncharacterized. Lineage: Eukaryota; Metazoa; Chordata; Mammalia; Carnivora; Ursidae. The record is from RefSeq and is a predicted model, not a curated record. The transcript has 3 exons.